Molecule: unclassified non-coding RNA, 723 nt
Filed under: Hevea brasiliensis (rubber tree)
Lineage: Eukaryota; Viridiplantae; Streptophyta; Magnoliopsida; Malpighiales; Euphorbiaceae
Source: RNAcentral
AGAUACUGAUCCAAUUCUGAUUUCAUGUGUUGGCUAUUUGCAAUCUCAGAGAUGUAUACAUCAAAAUCUGAAAGCCCAUCUCCAAUAGAUAGCAGAGGUAAAUCUUGGUGGUGCCCUUCAUAAGGCAGUAUCUCUCGUGAGAGCUCAUGAUGGUGCAUCUCUUGGGAGAACUCCUGAUGGUGCAUCUCUUGAGUUUCUACUUGUUGAGGAUGCAUCUCUUGACUCAUUACUUCUUGAUGCAGAGUCUCAUGGGUCUCUGCUUCUUGAGGGUGAAUCCUGUGAGUCUCUGUUUCUUGAAGGUGCAUUACAUGAGCAUGUACUUCUUGAGAGUGCACAUCAUGAGUCUGUGCUUCUUGAGGGUGCAUCUCAUGAGUCUCUGCUUCUUGAGGGUGCAUCUCAUGAGUCUGUGCUUCUUGAAGGUGCAUUGCCUGGGUCUGUGCAUCUGGAGGGCACACCUCCUGGGUCUGUGACUCUGUAGGGUUUAUAUCCUGGGUCUGUGAUUCUAUAGGGUGCAUCUCCUUGGUCUCUGAUUCUGUAGGGUGCAUCUCCUGGUUCUGUGAUUCUGCAGGGAGCACCUCCUGGAUCUGUGAUUCUGGAGGGUACAUAUGCUCAGUUUGUGCUUCUGACAAGUGCAUCUCUUGAGUCAACACUUCUUGACUGUGCACUUCUUGAGCCACCACUUCUGGGGGGUGCAUCUCUUGAGUCGGUACUUCUCGAGAAUGC